UGGGGAAUAUUGCACAAUGGGCGAAAGCCUGAUGCAGCGACGCCGCGUGAGGGAUGACGGCCUUCGGGUUGUAAACCUCUUUCAGCAGGGACGAAGCGCAAGUGACGGUACCUGCAGAAGAAGCAACGGCUAACUACGUGCCAGCAGCCGCGGUAAUACGUAGGGUGCAAGCGUUGUCCGGAAUUACUGGGCGUAAAGAGUUCGGAGGCGGUUUGUCGCGUCGUUUGUGAAAACCAGCAGCUCAACUGCUGGCUUGCAGGCGAUACGGGCAGACUUGAGUACUGCAGGGGAGACUGGAAUUCCUGGUGUAGCGGUGAAAUGCGCAGAUAUCAGGAGGAACACCGGUGGCGAAGGCGGGUCUCUGGGCAGUAACUGACGCUGAGGAACGAAAGCGUGGGUAGCGAACAGG
RNAcentral lists this ribosomal RNA (409 nucleotides) under bacterium. RNAcentral's name for it is "partial 16S ribosomal RNA". It matches the Rfam family "Bacterial small subunit ribosomal RNA", at positions 355 to 776 of the family's 1533-position model. The record is from RNAcentral.